GCCCGUACUCCGCCGUACAGGGCCUUCUCUCCAAAAUGGCUCUGCCCCUACCUUUACGUGGCGCACAUGUACGUACGUUGUGUGUGUGUGUGUGCGUGUGUUUUCAUCCCGACUUGGGUCAACGGUGGUGUGUCGCCGCCCGCCCGCCACCACCGACGUGUUGUCCCUCUCCUAGGAGCAUUUUUUCCACUGUUUUAUUUCGUGUUUUAUUUUUUUUUUCCUCACACGCGUCAUGUUCUUCCCGCGAUAACGGUACUCCACUCGCACUUACGGUCUACGUUGACGACGACCACUGUUCGUACCACUGUUGAACUUGAGUUGACGAUCUGGUUUAAUGAUCUAAUUAUCGCUUACGUUCUUUCCAUUAUUCGAAUUUUUUUUUUUUAUCUCGUCCGUCGUUCAGAUAACAUGUCACGCAACUAAACCUUGCACUGAAAUGCUGUUAAUUAGCGCCGCCCGUGAGUUCGACUACGGGCUCUUUGGCUUGCCUCCUCUGCUGUGUAAUUUUAAAAUAAUAUUAACCGAGCUUAUUAGAUUUUCAUACAUGUAUUUAUUUAUCUGUUGGUACCGUCUUGAGAAAGUACCUACAUGGCGCCGCAUACAUGGUCAAUUUAUAAUAUUUAGACAUUAAGUAGGUCUUGUCACAUCCUGGUUCUUUAGAAUAAUACAAUUUUUUUCUUCAUUAUAUAGUAUAUACGCGAUUGGAUAGAAAGUGAAAGCGUAUACGGUUUGUGACCGUCUAUAUCGCGCUUGUGUGUGCGUGUGUGCUUGUAUUUGAGUUUUUUGUGUGUGUGCAUGCCUGCGUGUGAUUUACUUUUUAAGACGCAUUCCGAUGCGUGUGCAUUUUUCGAAACGUUUGCUGACAAUUCGAGACAAACUUGUUGACUGUUUUUAAGUUUUUCUUAGUAAUUCAUGUUAACGGUUUAUCUCUUUUUUUUUUUUUUAUUUAAUUGACGUAAAGGAGAAGUGAAUAACAUAACAUCCAGUUUAAAACAAAAGGUAGUGUCUGCUUUGACACGCAUCAUCCGGAUUAUCUAUCCAGCAACGUCUUUUUUUUUAUAUUAAUAUACAUUUUGUCUACUUCUGAAAAUGGUGCACAUAGAUUCGUGUGAUCAUCUAAGCCAAUUAACACUUGCCUCCUAAUGAUUAAAGUAUGAAUACAGGAAGUUAUCCUACAUUUGUGACCGCUGCGCCGGCAACUUCAUUCAACCCCUGUUCAAGUGCAAAUAUGACUCAGGUGAAUGCGGGCAAUAAAUUUACCAAUGUCCAACAACAGACAGCUACAGUAAAUACUAAUACAGUAGUUAAUACUUCUAAUACAAGCGGACAAGUUGUUGCAUUAUUAAACAGUGAUGAAGCUGGCGUUACUUACUUAAGACCACUUGAUUCAAAUGGUUUUGCUGUUAAUUUAGCUGGUGUUGGAUCUUCUAACCAACAAGGACAAAUAUUUACUAUUCCCAUAACUGUUCCUGGUUCAAAGCCUGGUGAACAAAGCCAAACUAUACAAAUUCAAGUUGUUGGUCAAGGUGGUAUAUCUGGAGAUAAACUAUUGCCAGUUUUUGGACCUGUGUUACAGUUAGCAUAUAACCAACAACAAGACAAUGGAAGCAUUCAACUUCAAUUACAACAAGAUGGUGAUGUUUCAAAUGACCAAAUACAUAAUAAUAAUAAUGAUUCCAUGCAAUCAUCUGACUUAUUGCAAGAAGUUCAAGAAGACCAAGAGAUGAUACAAGAUGUUAAACCAGUAAUUAUCGAACAAAGCAGCACAGAUAGUAAUGGUAUGCAAUUUCCAUUGGCCGUUGUGGUAAAUCAAGAUAUGGUAGUGCGGCGUAAUCAGCAAGAUAACAAAAUAAUUGGCGAUCAAAAAGAUAAUCAGGCGGACAAACGAUUAAGAAUUCAAAAUGAACAAGAUUCAGCCAGUCAAUAUGUGAUGACUUAUUCAUCUAACACAAGCAAUUCUGUUUCAUUAGCUGAUUAUAUAUCAAUGAAUCAUGAUAAUAUUCCUCUUGGACACUUUUUAAAAUUUUCACCUGAUAAUAAUAAAAGAGAGAGUAUGGAAUCAACUGGGACUCAAGAAGAUGGCAAUAGUGAAAUGGUUGUGUAUGAAGAUGCUAAUAGUCAAGAAAAGGGUAAAAGGAAAAAAAAAUACAAAAAGAAACCACCAGCUGCUCGAAAACCUCGACCUGGGCAAAUACAUAUUGCUACUGCCUUAGAUGGUACUCUUUUGUUUUGUUGUCCAGAAUGUAGUAUGGCUUACCCAGAUAAAGAAAUGCUUGAACAACAUUUAGUUGCUCAUAAAAUAGAAAGAAGAUUUAUUUGUGAUCUUUGUGGUGCUGGACUUAAACGUAAAGAACAUUUAGAACGGCAUAAAUUAGGUCAUAAUCCAGAACGUCCUUUUGUGUGUAAUGUGUGUUGUAAAGGUUUCAAGAGAAAAGAACAUUUAAAUUUGCAUGCUGUAAUCCAUUCAGGUGUAAAGACUGAAGUAUGUCAGGAUUGUGGUAAAGGUUUUUAUAGACGAGAUCAUUUAAGAAAGCACACUCAAAGUCAUAUUACCAAACGUCUAAAAGAAGAGCAUGCUGCGCUUCAACAAUUAGCUGAACAAGUAACAGUAUCUGAUCGCCAAAAAUUGUCUGUCCCAGAGUUGAUUCAAAAUCAAGCUCAUUCUACACCAAUCAUUAAUCUGGCUCAUCAAGAAAUGAUUAUUGAUGCUGUUGCUAGUGGAAGACACACCCCUACCCCUCCUAAUGAUCAUCAAAUUGUCAUUACCAAAGGAAACCAAAAACUUACUGAACAAGAAUUAAUUAUAUUGCAACAGCAACAAAUUCAACAGCAGCAGCAACAAAUACAACAACAACAACAGCAGCAGCAGCAGCAGCAGCAGCAACAACAACAACAACAACAACAACAGCAGCAGCAGCAACAGCAACAACAACCAAAUAGUCCAAAUAUAGCUCAACAAGAGAUGAUUAUUGAAGCUGUAGGACAACAACAACAAAGUCCGUCUUCACCACAUGUAGAACAUCAUCAAGUAGUUAUUACUAAACUGGAACCAAAUGAAGACUCUAGAGAAAACGAAAGUAUUGUAUUGACUCAGACAGAUGCUAGAGAAGCACUUGGUUUACUGCACCAUCAACCUCAAUGACCUCUACUCUCAAUUACUAAGGUGACAAUUAAACAGAAACCACCAUAAUAAUAGGAUUGUGGGGAGAGAAGAACAUUGAUCCCUUUUCAAUUGAGUGAAAAUAAAAUUUUUACCAAACCUUUUAUUUGUUGCGGACAUGAUAUUGUUAUCCAAAUGAAAAAAUGAAACCUUUAAUAAUCACAUUUAUUGAUAUUUAAAUUUCAAUAAUAAAUCAAGAUCAUAGAAAACUACUGUUGGUGUACUAUUGAUUAUAUAUUUUCUAUUUUUUUAAA
Sipha flava (yellow sugarcane aphid) is the source of this 3414-nucleotide RNA transcript. It is a transcript of the gene named putative mediator of RNA polymerase II transcription subunit 26, with no coding region annotated. The record is from RefSeq and is a predicted model, not a curated record. The transcript is spliced from 9 exons. Lineage: Eukaryota; Metazoa; Arthropoda; Insecta; Hemiptera; Aphididae.